Molecule: ribosomal RNA, 511 nt
Filed under: uncultured bacterium
Lineage: Bacteria
Description: bacterial SSU rRNA
Rfam family: Bacterial small subunit ribosomal RNA
Source: RNAcentral
CUGGCGGCGUGCCUAAUACAUGCAAGUCGAACGGUCUUUCUAUGGAAGCUUGCUUCCACUGAGAAGAUAGUGGCGAACGGGUGAGUAACACGUGGGUAACCUGCCCAUAAGAGGGGGAUAACAUCCGGAAACGGGUGCUAAUACCGCAUAGUUUUCUUGAUCGCAUGAUCGGGAAAGGAAAGACGGCCUUUGUGCUGUCGCUUAUGGAUGGACCCGCGGCGUAUUAGUUAGUUGGUGAGGUAACGGCUCACCAAGACGAUGAUACGUAGCCGACCUGAGAGGGUGAUCGGCCACAUUGGGACUGAGACACGGCCCAAACUCCUACGGGAGGCAGCAGUAGGGAAUCUUCCGCAAUGGACGAAAGUCUGACGGAGCAACGCCGCGUGAGUGAAGUAAGGUUUUCGGGAAUCGUAAAACUCUGUUGUCAGAGAAGAACAAGUUGGAGAGUAACUGCUCCAGCCUUGACGGUAUCUGACCAGAAAGCCACGGCUAACUACGUGCCAGCAGCAGC